RNAcentral lists this ribosomal RNA (462 nucleotides) under Bacillus sp. (in: firmicutes). RNAcentral describes it as "bacterial SSU rRNA". It matches the Rfam family "Bacterial small subunit ribosomal RNA", at positions 339 to 792 of the family's 1533-position model. Lineage: Bacteria; Bacillati; Bacillota; Bacilli; Caryophanales; Bacillaceae. The record is from RNAcentral.
CUACGGGAGGCAGCAGUAGGGAAUCUUCCGCAAUGGACGAAAGUCUGACGGAGCAACGCCGCGUGAGUGAUGAAGGUUUUCGGAUCGUAAAGCUCUGUUGUUAGGGAAGAACAAGUGCCGUUCAAAUAGGGCGGCACCUUGACGGUACCUAACCAGAAAGCCACGGCUAACUACGUGCCAGCAGCCGCGGUAAUACGUAGGUGGCAAGCGUUGUCCGGAAUUAUUGGGCGUAAAGGGCUCGCAGGCGGUUUCUUAAGUCUGAUGUGAAAGCCCCCGGCUCAACCGGGGAGGGUCAUUGGAAACUGGGGAACUUGAGUGCAGAAGAGGAGAGUGGAAUUCCACGUGUAGCGGUGAAAUGCGUAGAGAUGUGGAGGAACACCAGUGGCGAAGGCGACUCUCUGGUCUGUAACUGACGCUGAGGAGCGAAAGCGUGGGGAGCGAACAGGAUUAGAUACCCUGGUA